Molecule: small RNA, 141 nt
Filed under: Rhizobium sp. LC145
Lineage: Bacteria; Pseudomonadati; Pseudomonadota; Alphaproteobacteria; Hyphomicrobiales; Rhizobiaceae
Description: Rhizobiales sRNA Atu_C7
Rfam family: Rhizobiales sRNA Atu_C7 (bases 41-141)
Source: Rfam by way of RNAcentral
CAGUUUUGAAGUCAGUCCGCGUGUUCUGCCCCUGAGUGCCGUUCUCCUGGCGCGUCCCUAAGCCGCAGGUGUCUCCUCCCUCGCCCGCGGUGAUGCGCCCGCCUUGCCUCGCUUGCCGCUCCCAGCGCAGCGAGGCGUUUU